UACAGAAGGUGCAAGCGUUGUUCGGAAUUACUGGGCGUAAAGGGCGCGUAGGCGGCCAACUAAGUCAGACGUGAAAUCCCUCGGCUUAACCGGGGAACUGCGUCUGAUACUGGAUGGCUUGAGUUUGGGAGAGGGAUGCGGAAUUCCAGGUGUAGCGGUGAAAUGCGUAGAUAUCUGGAGGAACACCGGUGGCGAAGGCGGCAUCCUGGACCAACACUGACGCUGAGGCACGAAAGCGUGGGGAGCAAACAGG
This 253-nucleotide ribosomal RNA is filed under the name uncultured bacterium. RNAcentral's name for it is "partial 16S ribosomal RNA". It matches the Rfam family "Bacterial small subunit ribosomal RNA", at positions 524 to 776 of the family's 1533-position model. The record is from RNAcentral.